This 367-nucleotide ribosomal RNA is filed under the name uncultured organism. RNAcentral describes it as "bacterial SSU rRNA". It matches the Rfam family "Bacterial small subunit ribosomal RNA", at positions 526 to 896 of the family's 1533-position model. The record is from RNAcentral.
CGGAGGGUCCAAGCGUUAUCCGGAAUCAGUUGGGUUUAAAGGGUCCGUAGGCGGUUUAAUAAGUCAGUGGUGAAAGCCCAUCGCUCAACGAUGGAACGGCCAUUGAUACUGUUAAACUUGAAUUAUUAGGAAGUAACUAGAAUAUGUAGUGUAGCGGUGAAAUGCUUAGAGAUUACAUGGAAUACCAAUUGCGAAGGCAGGUUACUACUAAUAUAUUGACGCUGAUGGACGAAAGCGUGGGGAGCGAACAGGAUUAGAUACCCUGGUAGUCCACGCCGUAAACGAUGGAUACUAGCUGUUCGGAGCAAUCUGAGUGGCUAAGCGAAAGUGAUAAGUAUCCCACCUGGGGAGUACGUUCGCAAGAAUG